Long non-coding RNA from Oxyura jamaicensis (ruddy duck), 1386 nucleotides. RefSeq lists it as uncharacterized. Lineage: Eukaryota; Metazoa; Chordata; Aves; Anseriformes; Anatidae. The transcript has 5 exons. The record is from RefSeq and is a predicted model, not a curated record.
UUGUUUUUCUUCUCUUUUUGAAUUUGCAGUGUGCUUUCUGGGUGCUUAGGACUGAGGGUGUAAGGGUAGAUUGCUUUGCUAGGGCAAUCAGGGGUAACUGGGCAGCAGCAGGAUGGUGGGUCUGGAAUGAAGUGUAUGUGCUUGAGCUCCUGCCUGCUUGAAGAUGGAUGGAUCAGAACCGUGUGUUAAUUGAUGGAGCAGGCAGAGUUGCUGCAGAUUGAGUUCAGAUAUGAAAACUUGGAAAAAAGUGCUCGGGAGAGAAGGGGUUCAUUAAUACGAAAGCUCCUCAGACCAGGAAAGCAACCACUAGAGGGUCUGGGGCUUCUUUGGCAGGUUUUCAAAAGUGGUAUUGCCCAGCUUCUUGAGUGUUUUAUCCAUCCUGAGGUGUUCUUUCAGAUCUGCAAAAAGAGUAGCAGUGAGAGAUGGCUCCCUGCUGAACUGGGUACAAGAGAUGCUGGGGUUUUCUAGGGAUGGGUGUCUACAUGGGCUUUGGCACUUGAGCUGCUGCUUUGGCCUUGGAGACUUCUGACAGUCCAAUUUCCCAAGCUAAAACCUUUUUGGAAGGUCUUAGAAGGCUUCAAAAAGGGAGUUACUUCAGCUCCUGUGUGACAGGAUCCAGAUUUCUAGAGGAUGCAACAGGCUUUAAGCACGUUCUCGUCUAGAAGAAGUAAGACUCACUUUUUCCUGAGGGCCUUGUGUCCCAUUCUCUUGAGCGUAAGUCAACAAUGAUCAUACUGUGGUCUUUUAGAACUUAGCACAGAAUGAGUGAUGAUUGUACUAUCUAAGAAUUCAGGCGAAAAGAAUAUCUAAUGGAAGUGGUGGGGGCAAUUUCAAAUAAAAUGUUGCAAACUUCUCCAGGUCACCGACUAAUGCCACUUUUCUGUUGCAGUAGCAUUUUUUUCUUCUACUAAAAUGCAUGACUGUCUUAUUGAAGAAAAGCUCUGGUGCUGCGAGGAGCCUUUGAAGUUAAGAUCCUUCCUGGACUGCACGCCACUUCAUGCAUGCUACAGGACUGGAAAUCUGUUGUUUUUUUUUUUAAACCCCUGUGCUUUGUUCUGCAGUUUGCUUUGUACUUUUGAAUCAAAUACCUUUCCAUAGCUGUAUUUACUGGAGUAGACCAUGCUAUUAUAGCACCUCAUUCACAUACACGCAGAGGAGGAGGACAGCCAGCUGCAGCUGGCACAUUCAACACACAGUUGGGUUUCCGUUCUGUGGAGAUUUGCAUAAAAUGACCAUGUUUGUCCUCUAUUCUGCUGUAAAAAUAACAAACAGCUUUCUACUCCUGUUUCAUAGAAAAUAUGUAAAUAAGAAAAUAUGUAAAUUAUGGCACUGCCACCCACCCCACUGCAGCGUUCUGUAACAGGCCUACUAUAAAAUGGCUUCUAA